GAUGAACGCUGGCGGCGUGCUUAACACAUGCAAGUCGAACGGCAAAACCGUAGUUUGUUGUGUUGGAUGAGUGGCGAACGGGUGAGUAACACGUGAGCAACCUGCCCUUGACUUUGGGAUAAGUGCAGGAAACGGCGUCUAAUACUGGAUAUGUGACGCGACAGCAUGGUAUGCGUGUGAAAAGAUGACGCGGUGGGGGUUGGGGUGGCGGUUUACGAGCUUGUUGGUGGGGGGUUGGAUGCCCAAGGAGUCGACGGUUAGCCGGCCUGCGGGGGUGACCGGCCACACUGGGACUGAGACACGGCCCAGACUCCUACGGGAGGCAGCAGUGGGGAAUAUUGCACAAUGGGCGCAAGCCUGAUGCAGCAACGCCGCGUGAGGGAUGACGGCCUUCGGGUUGUAAACCGCUUUAGGCUGGGAAGAAGCGAAAGUGACGGUACCUGCAGAAAAAGCACCGGCUAACUACGUG
This 469-nucleotide ribosomal RNA is filed under the name uncultured bacterium. RNAcentral describes it as "partial 16S ribosomal RNA". It matches the Rfam family "Bacterial small subunit ribosomal RNA", at positions 28 to 507 of the family's 1533-position model. The record is from RNAcentral.